AAGAGCCCGGUGACGGGAGACUGUCACGCCGGGAUCUGUGGGAGCCCGGAGGUGAGACCCCUCCGGGCCACCCGAC
Streptomycetaceae bacterium MP113-05 is the source of this 76-nucleotide non-coding RNA. Lineage: Bacteria; Bacillati; Actinomycetota; Actinomycetes; Kitasatosporales; Streptomycetaceae. The record is from Rfam.